UAUUUCAGCCAGCACAGGUGUUGCUCUUUCUUCAUAUAAAAAAGAUCAAGGAUCCGAACUUAUCUGAAAAGCUAAAGAGGUACCAAGUGUCCCCAUUAGAAUGGUGGGCUUUUCAGCAAUUGUUGCAUACGGAUUACAUGAGUUGAAGAGCAAGGGAAAUACUAAAAUGUCCAUUCAUGAUCCACAUGUGUGUAGCAGCCCAAGGCUUUGUUGUGGGAGCAGUGGCUCUUGUUGUGGGCUAUUCCAUGUUUCAGGAAUUCUGGUUGAAACCUAA
This 274-nucleotide long non-coding RNA is filed under the name Homo sapiens (human). RNAcentral describes it as "non-protein coding lnc-ETV6-4:1". Lineage: Eukaryota; Metazoa; Chordata; Mammalia; Primates; Hominidae. The record is from RNAcentral.